Carcharodon carcharias (great white shark) is the source of this 438-nucleotide long non-coding RNA. RefSeq lists it as uncharacterized. The record is from RefSeq and is a predicted model, not a curated record. The transcript is spliced from 4 exons. NCBI's taxonomy places the organism in Eukaryota, Metazoa, Chordata, Chondrichthyes, Lamniformes, Lamnidae.
UGGCUGCAAUGUCCAAAGCCGCCGCUUUGAUAGUUACCUCCCCAUACCAACCCUUCGCACCCCACCCCUCCAUAGCCCAUCAAUUAGAAACGACUGGGAUUUCUACUCCCCUCCCCCCAACAGUGUCUGCCAUUCAACUCAAAAUUAGGUGGAAGCAGAAUGCGGAUAGACUUUAUUUUUAAAAAAACAUAAAGGAGCUGGAUAAAUAUUUUGAAAAGAAACAAUGGAAAAGGGAUACGCAGCUUGGUGAUAGUUCUUUCAGAGCAGUGAAAAUUCCUGUUAACUCUUUCCUUGUCCUGCUGCAAAACAGAAACUUCAGAAGCCCACCAGAAAACCACAAAGCUGCCCAAAGGUCAACAGCAGCACAGUAACUAUCAGGAGAGACUACUUGCUUAAAAAAUGAAUAAUCACCUCCGUCCUUCAAUGCUGACAUCAGGG